RNAcentral lists this transfer RNA (74 nucleotides) under Hyphomicrobiales bacterium. Its description in RNAcentral is "tRNA-Gly". It matches the Rfam family "tRNA". From Rfam's summary of the family: Transfer RNA (tRNA) molecules are approximately 80 nucleotides in length. Their secondary structure includes four short double-helical elements and three loops (D, anti-codon, and T loops). Further hydrogen bonds mediate the characteristic L-shaped molecular structure. tRNAs have two regions of fundamental functional importance: the anti-codon, which is responsible for specific mRNA codon recognition, and the 3' end, to which the tRNAs corresponding amino acid is attached (by aminoacyl-tRNA synthetases). tRNAs cope with the degeneracy of the genetic code in two manners: having more than one tRNA (with a specific anti-codon) for a particular amino acid; and 'wobble' base-pairing, i.e. permitting non-standard base-pairing at the 3rd anti-codon position. RNAcentral also lists the same sequence under 1 other name. Lineage: Bacteria; Pseudomonadati; Pseudomonadota; Alphaproteobacteria; Hyphomicrobiales. The record is from RNAcentral.
GCGGGUGUAGCUCAACGGUAGAGCAGCAGCCUUCCAAGCUGAGGACGAGGGUUCGACUCCCUUCACCCGCUCCA